AUUGAACGCUGGCGGAAUGCUUUACACAUGCAAGUCGAACGGCAGCACGGGGGCAACCCUGGUGGCGAGUGGCGAACGGGUGAGUAAUACAUCGGAACGUGCCCAGUCGUGGGGGAUAACUACGCGAAAGCGUAGCUAAUACCGCAUACGAUCUACGGAUGAAAGCGGGGGACCGCAAGACCUCGCGCGAUUGGAGCGGCCGAUGGCAGAUUAGGUAGUUGGUGGGGUAAAGGCUCACCAAGCCGACGAUCUGUAGCUGGUCUGAGAGGACGACCAGCCACACUGGGACUGAGACACGGCCCAGACUCCUACGGGAGGCAGCAGUGGGGAAUUUUGGACAAUGGGCGCAAGCCUGAUGCAGCGACG
Molecule: ribosomal RNA, 366 nt
Filed under: uncultured bacterium
Lineage: Bacteria
Description: bacterial SSU rRNA
Rfam family: Bacterial small subunit ribosomal RNA
Source: RNAcentral